AACUCUCCAAUGUGCGAAAGCGUGAGAGGGGAACUCCUAGUGCGUACGGUUCAUCCGUGCGCUUUUGCCAUGUGUAAAUAGCAUGGCGAAUAAGUGGUGGGUAAGACUGGUGCCAGCCGCCGCGGUAACACCAGCGCCACGAGUGGCUAUCGCGAUUAUUGGGCUUAAAGCGUCCGUAGUCGGCUUCGUGCAUCCUCUGUGAAAUCGCUGCGCUUAACGUAGCGGCAUGCGGGGGACACGGCGAAGCUUGAGACCGGGAGGCGUGAAGGGUACUCCGGGGGGACCGGUAAAAUGGUAUAAUCCCCGGAAGACCACCUGUGGCGAAGGCGCUUCACGAGAACGGAUCUGACGAUGAGGGACGAAAGCCAGGGGAGCAAACCGGAUUAGAUACCCGAGUAGUCCUGGCCGUAAACGCUGCCAGCUAGGUGUUGCAUGUACUUUGUGCACCUGCAGUAUCGGAGCGAAAGUAUUAAGCUGGCCGCCUGGGAAGUACGGUCGCAAGACUGAAACUUUA
Molecule: ribosomal RNA, 514 nt
Filed under: uncultured archaeon
Lineage: Archaea
Description: bacterial SSU rRNA
Rfam family: Archaeal small subunit ribosomal RNA
Source: RNAcentral